GGGGUUGUGGCUCAGUGGUAGAGUGCUCGCCUAGCACAUGUGAGGCACUGGGUUCGAUCCUCAGCACCACA
Molecule: transfer RNA, 71 nt
Filed under: Marmota monax (woodchuck)
Lineage: Eukaryota; Metazoa; Chordata; Mammalia; Rodentia; Sciuridae
Description: tRNA.Ala
Source: RNAcentral